AUACGGAGGGUGCAAGCGUUAUUCGGAAUCACUGGGCGUAAAGGACGCGUAGGCGGGUUGGCAAGUCAGAUGUGAAAUCCUACAGCUUAACUGUAGAACUGCAUUUGAAACUGCUAACCUAGAGUAUGGGAGGGGGAGAUGGAAUUAGUGGUGUAGGGGUAAAAUCCGUAGAUAUCACUAGGAAUACCGAAAGCGAAGGCGAUCUCCAGGAACAUAACUGACGCUAAGGCGUGAAAGCGUGGGGAGCGAACAGGAUUAGAAACCCUAGUAGUCC
This 274-nucleotide ribosomal RNA is filed under the name uncultured bacterium. RNAcentral describes it as "partial 16S ribosomal RNA". It matches the Rfam family "Bacterial small subunit ribosomal RNA", at positions 523 to 796 of the family's 1533-position model. The record is from RNAcentral.